CAAUAGCGUAUAUUUAAGUUGUUGCAGUUAAAAAGCUCGUAGUUGGAUUUCGGAUGGGACUUGCCGGUCCGUCGUUGCGAUGUGCACUGGCCAGUCCUAUCUUGUUGUCGGGGACUAGCUCUUGGUCUUCACUGGCCGGGACUAGGAGCUGACGAGGUUACUUUGAGUAAAUUAGAGUGUUCAAAGCAAGCCUACGCUCUGAAUACAUUAGCAUGGAAUAACACGAUAGGACUCUGGCUUAUCCUGUUGGUCUGUGAGACCAGAGUAAUGAUUAAGAGGGACAGUCGGGGACAUUCGUAUUUCAUUGUCAGAGGUGAAAUUCUUGGAUUUAUGAAAGACGAACUUCUGCGAAAGCGUUUGUCAAGGAUGUUUUCAUUAA
RNAcentral lists this ribosomal RNA (379 nucleotides) under uncultured eukaryote. RNAcentral describes it as "partial 18S ribosomal RNA". It matches the Rfam family "Eukaryotic small subunit ribosomal RNA", at positions 592 to 976 of the family's 1831-position model. The record is from RNAcentral.